This 269-nucleotide ribosomal RNA is filed under the name uncultured bacterium. RNAcentral describes it as "partial 16S ribosomal RNA". It matches the Rfam family "Bacterial small subunit ribosomal RNA", at positions 29 to 298 of the family's 1533-position model. The record is from RNAcentral.
AACGAACGCUGGCGGCAUGCUUUACACAUGCAAGUCGAACGGCAGCGCGGGGGCAACCCUGGCGGCGAGUGGCGAACGGGUGAGUAAUAUAUCGGAACGUACCCAGAAGUGGGGGGAUAACGUAGCGAAAGUUACGCUAAUACCGCAUACGAUCUACGGAUGAAAGUGGGGGACCUUCGGGCCUCAUGCUUUUGGAGCGGCCGAUAUCUGAUUAGCUAGUUGGUGAGGUAAAGGCUCACCAAGGCGACGAUCAGUAGCUGGUCUGAGGA